UACGGGGGGUGCGAGCGUUGUCCGGAAUCACUGGGCGUAAAGGGCGCGUAGGUGGUUUGAUAAGGGUGUGGUGAAAGUCCGGGGCUCAACCCCGGAUCUGCCGUGCCGACUGUCAAACUCGAGGACUGUAGAGGCAGACGGAAUUCCGGGUGUAGCGGUGGAAUGCGUAGAGAUCGGGAAGAAUACCCGUGGCGAAGGCGGCCAGCUGGGCCAGGUCCGACACUGAGGCGCGAAAGCGUGGGGAGCAAACAGG
Molecule: ribosomal RNA, 253 nt
Filed under: uncultured bacterium
Lineage: Bacteria
Description: partial 16S ribosomal RNA
Rfam family: Bacterial small subunit ribosomal RNA
Source: RNAcentral